RNAcentral lists this ribosomal RNA (495 nucleotides) under uncultured bacterium. Its description in RNAcentral is "partial 16S ribosomal RNA". It matches the Rfam family "Bacterial small subunit ribosomal RNA", at positions 28 to 507 of the family's 1533-position model. The record is from RNAcentral.
GAUGAACGCUGGCGGCGUGCUUAACACAUGCAAGUCGAACGAAGCACCUCUCCCGAAGAUUGACACAGCUUGCUGUAGAUUGAUUCAUUUGAGGUGACUGAGUGGCGGACGGGUGAGUAACGCGUGGGUAACCUGCCUCAUAGAGGGGGACAACAGUUGGAAACGACUGCUAAUACCGCAUAGUAAGAAGAAUUCGCAUGUUUUCUUCUUGAAAGAUUUAUCGCUAUGAGAUGGACCCGCGUCUGAUUAGCUAGUUGGUAAGGUAACGGCUUACCAAGGCGACGAUCAGUAGCCGGCUUGAGAGAGUGAACGGCCACAUUGGGACUGAGACACGGCCCAAACUCCUACGGGAGGCAGCAGUGGGGAAUAUUGCACAAUGGGGGAAACCCUGAUGCAGCGACGCCGCGUGAGUGAAGAAGUAUUUCGGUAUGUAAAGCUCUAUCAGCAGGGAAGAUAAUGACGGUACCUGACUAAGAAGCCCCGGCUAACUACGUG